AUUGAACGCUGGCGGCAGGCCUAACACAUGCAAGUCGAGCGGAUGAAGGGAGCUUGCUCCUGGAUUCAGCGGCGGACGGGUGAGUAAUGCCUAGGAAUCUGCCUGUUAGUGGGGGAUAACGUCCGGAAACGGGCGCUAAUACCGCAUACGUCCUGAGGGAGAAAGUGGGGGAUCUUCGGAUCUUCCGCUAUCAGAUGAGCCUAGGUCGGAUUAGCUAGUUGGUGGGGUAAAGGCCUACCAAGGCGACGAUCCGUAACUGGUCUGAGAGGAUGAUCAGUCACACUGGAACUGAGACACGGUCCAGACUCCUACGGGAGGCAGCAGUGGGGAAUAUUGGACAAUGGGCGAAGGCCUGAUCCAGCCAUGCCGCGUGUGUGAAGAAGGUCUUCGGAUUGUAAAGCACUUUAAGUUGGGAGGAAGGGCAGUAAGUUAAUACCUUGCUGUUUUGACGGUACCAACAGAAUAAGCACCGGCUAACUUCGUG
Molecule: ribosomal RNA, 484 nt
Filed under: uncultured bacterium
Lineage: Bacteria
Description: partial 16S ribosomal RNA
Rfam family: Bacterial small subunit ribosomal RNA
Source: RNAcentral